Molecule: unclassified non-coding RNA, 25 nt
Filed under: Mus musculus (house mouse)
Lineage: Eukaryota; Metazoa; Chordata; Mammalia; Rodentia; Muridae
Description: oocyte_clustered_small_RNA5120
Source: RNAcentral
AAGCAGUGCAAAGCCAGAUGGUACG